RNAcentral lists this long non-coding RNA (448 nucleotides) under Helianthus annuus (common sunflower). Lineage: Eukaryota; Viridiplantae; Streptophyta; Magnoliopsida; Asterales; Asteraceae. The record is from RNAcentral.
GAGCCGACUUUAGGAAGAGAAGCAUCAGACGAACGAGGGCAGGAGAAGAGACGCACGAAUUGGACGAUCACAGAAGGAACGAAGAUACUCAGGGACGAAAAAAGGUUAAGUGUGGGGAUAUUACCGUACUUGAACUUAAAUUGCAUGAUAAGGGUCCUGGUGCGAAUGAAGCAAAAACGAGUAAUAUGGAAAUGACCAGCCAGUUGAGUAGAGUAGGAUGCCAGUGACCGAAUUAAAAUCACCGCUAUUUUCAGUGAUUGGGCCGAACCCGCUAUCUCUAGCAAUAAAAAGCUGCAUAUAAUAAUUAGAGGGAAUGGGCCAUGGAUUUACUUUUUGGCGGCUGUUAAUCACGUGAAUGAGGAGAGGCCCAAUAUAUAACAUUCAUCGACAGUAGACAUUAUUAAAAUUAAAAGUGAAUAUUAUUUCUUUUAGGGGCAAUUAGGAAGUA